RNAcentral lists this ribosomal RNA (497 nucleotides) under uncultured bacterium. RNAcentral describes it as "partial 16S ribosomal RNA". It matches the Rfam family "Bacterial small subunit ribosomal RNA", at positions 28 to 507 of the family's 1533-position model. The record is from RNAcentral.
GAUGAACGCUGGCGGCGUGCCUAAUACAUGCGAGUCGAGCGAACGGACGAGAAGCUUGCUUCUCUGAUGUUAGCGGCGGACGGGUGAGUAACACGUGGAUAACCUACCUAUAAGACUGGGAUAACUUCGGGAAACCGGAGCUAAUACCGGAUAAUAUUUUGAACCGCAUGGUUCAAAAGUGAAAGACGGUCUUGCUGUCACUUAUAGGUGGAUCCGCGCUGCAUUAGCUAGUUGGUAAGGUAACGGCUUACCAAGGCAACGAUGCAUAGCCGACCUGAGAGGGUGAUCGGCCACACUGGAACUGAGACACGGUCCAGACUCCUACGGGAGGCAGCAGUAGGGAAUCUUCCGCAAUGGGCGAAAGCCUGACGGAGCAACGCCGCGUGAGUGAUGAAGGUCUUCGGAUCGUAAAACUCUGUUAUUAGGGAAGAACAUAUGUGUAAGUAACUGUGCACAUCUUGACGGUACCUAAUCAGAAAGCCACGGCUAACUACGUG